AAGACCUUGCGCUCUUGGAGCGGCCGAUGUCUGAUUAGCUAGUUGGUGAGGUAAAGGCUUACCAAGGCGACGAUCAGUAGCUGGUCUGAGAGGACGACCAGCCACACUGGGACUGAGACACGGCCCAGACUCCUACGGGAGGCAGCAGUGGGGAAUUUUGGACAAUGGGGGAAACCCUGAUCCAGCCAUGCCGCGUGAGUGAAGAAGGCCUUCGGGUUGUAAAGCUCUUUCAGCCGGAACGAAACGGUCACGGCUAAUACCUGUGAUCACUGACGGUACCGGAAGAAGAAGCACCGGCUAACUACGUGCCAGCAGCCGCGGUAAUACGUAGGGUGCAAGCGUUAAUCGGAAUUACUGGGCGUAAAGCGUGCGCAGGCGGUUUUGUAAGUCAGAUGUGAAAUCCCCGGGCUUAACCUGGGAACU
This 423-nucleotide ribosomal RNA is filed under the name uncultured bacterium. RNAcentral describes it as "bacterial SSU rRNA". It matches the Rfam family "Bacterial small subunit ribosomal RNA", at positions 207 to 622 of the family's 1533-position model. The record is from RNAcentral.